UGGGGAAUAUUGGACAAUGGGCGCAAGCCUGAUCCAGCCAUGCCGCGUGAGUGAUGAAGGCCCUAGGGUUGUAAAGCUCUCUCACCGGUGAAGAUAAUGACGGUAACCGGAGAAGAAGCCCCGGCUAACUUCGUGCCAGCAGCCGCGGUAAUACGAAGGGGGCUAGCGUUGUUCGGAUUUACUGGGCGUAAAGCGCACGUAGGCGGACUUUUAAGUCAGGGGUGAAAUCCCGGGGCUCAACCCCGGAACUGCCUUUGAUACUGGAAGUCUUGAGUAUGGUAGAGGUGAGUGGAAUUCCGAGUGUAGAGGUGAAAUUCGUAGAUAUUCGGAGGAACACCAGUGGCGAAGGCGGCUCGCUGGACCAUUACUGACGCUGAGGUGCGAAAGCGUGGGGAGCAAACAGG
Molecule: ribosomal RNA, 404 nt
Filed under: Actinomycetes bacterium
Lineage: Bacteria; Bacillati; Actinomycetota; Actinomycetes
Description: Actinobacteria bacterium partial 16S ribosomal RNA
Rfam family: Bacterial small subunit ribosomal RNA
Source: RNAcentral